AGAGUUUGAUCCUGGCUCAGAAUGAACGUUGGCGGCGUGGAUUAGGCAUGCAAGUCGAACGCCCCGCAAGGGGAGUGGCGGAAGGGUGAGUAAGGCGAAGGUAACCAACCCCGCGAAUGGGCAUAGCCGAGGGAAACUUCGGGUAAUUCCCAGCGAUGUGUCGAAUCGGCAUCGGUUUGACACCAAAGAUUUAUCGUCGU
Molecule: ribosomal RNA, 200 nt
Filed under: uncultured bacterium
Lineage: Bacteria
Description: partial 16S ribosomal RNA
Rfam family: Bacterial small subunit ribosomal RNA
Source: RNAcentral